RNAcentral lists this ribosomal RNA (650 nucleotides) under Flavobacterium sp. B.D-2. RNAcentral describes it as "bacterial SSU rRNA". It matches the Rfam family "Bacterial small subunit ribosomal RNA", at positions 96 to 744 of the family's 1533-position model. The record is from RNAcentral. Lineage: Bacteria; Pseudomonadati; Bacteroidota; Flavobacteriia; Flavobacteriales; Flavobacteriaceae.
UGGCGCACGGGUGCGUAACGCGUGAGCAACCUGCCCAUAUCAGGGGGAUAGCCCGGAGAAAUCCGGAUUAACACCGCAUGACACUGCUUUCCGGCAUCGGGAGGCAGUCAAAUAUUCAUAGGAUAUGGAUGGGCUCGCGUGACAUUAGCUAGUUGGUGGGGUAACGGCCCACCAAGGCGACGAUGUCUAGGGGCUCUGAGAGGAGAAUCCCCCACACUGGUACUGAGACACGGACCAGACUCCUACGGGAGGCAGCAGUAAGGAAUAUUGGUCAAUGGGGGCAACCCUGAACCAGCCAUGCCGCGUGCAGGACGACUGCCCUAUGGGUUGUAAACUGCUUUUGUUAGGGAAUAAACCCCGCUACGUGUAGCGGGCUGAAUGUACCUAAAGAAUAAGGAUCGGCUAACUCCGUGCCAGCAGCCGCGGUAAUACGGAGGAUCCGAGCGUUAUCCGGAUUUAUUGGGUUUAAAGGGUGCGUAGGCGGCACUUUAAGUCAGGGGUGAAAGACGGCAGCUCAACUGUCGCAGUGCCCUUGAUACUGAAGUGCUUGAAUGCGGUUGAAGACGGCGGAAUGAGACAAGUAGCGGUGAAAUGCAUAGAUAUGUCUCAGAACACCGAUUGCGAAGGCAGCUGUCUAAGCCGUUAUUGAC